This 1638-nucleotide long non-coding RNA is filed under the name Equus asinus (donkey). RNAcentral's name for it is "lncRNA (ENSEASG00005025816.1)". Lineage: Eukaryota; Metazoa; Chordata; Mammalia; Perissodactyla; Equidae. The record is from RNAcentral.
CUUCCCCUUUUUCUUUCCCCUUUUCCGCGCAGCUCGCCCGGCGGCCGCCCGGAUGGGCCCGCUGCCCCCCGCCGGCGGCAAGCCGCAGGGUCGGGCUCGAGAACUUUCCCAGGAGGAGAAGUGUUGAGUGAGCAUUCGUGAUUGCACCUCCUCCAAUCAAGCUGUGGGAUAUCUUUGAGGAGAGCCAAGCUUUCAAGUAAAAGUGAAGAGCUGGAGAGAGCUUUGAAGAGGAGGAGGGAGAAAGAAGCACGGCCUUGCUACUUGGAGAGGAUCAGAGAAGACAGGAAAAAGGCAGUAGGAAAAGCAGCCAGAGGAUAGAGAGUAAGAGGGGAAGGGCAGCUCAGGGUGGUCCUGGGCUGAGAGUACCCUGGAGGUUGAUUGACGAAAGGGCAGAGGAUGAAAAGAAACAAGAGACGGGGAGGUUUGAGCUGUCUCAGGUCAAGAUUGUCCCUGGGUCAGCCCUUUGUCUGUAACGGACUGGCUAGUAAAUAUUUUCAGUUUUGUGGGCCAUACAAAUCCCUGCCGUGGUAGCAUGAAAGCAGCUGUAGACAAAAUGUAAACGAAUGAGAGGGGCUGUGUUCCAAUAAAACUUUAUUUAUGGCUGCCGAAACUUAAUUUCCUAUCAUUUUCACGUCACCGAAUAUUCUUGUUUUGAUUUUUUUGUUCCCCAACCAUCUAAAAAACUGUAAAGCUCAUUCUUAGCCCGCAGGCUGUACAAUAAGAGACAUCAGGCUAGGUUUGGCCUGCAGGCGGUAGUGUGCUAACCCCCGCGCUAGCGUAAAGGUGUAGGAGUUUAUGUGUUAAAGCAGAGGCUUAUGCGUCACUGGGGACAUUUUGGGAACGGAAGUAAAAUACAUCUUCUGAUAAUCACAAGUAACUAUUGGUGAAGUCUGUGGACCAAAAGUUUGGACUAUCAGACUGCUAACUCCAAACAGAAAAGAAAAAAAUUUAAGAUGAACAAUGAAGAAUAUCAUAAAGCAGUUACGCAUUAGUGCAAAGGUCAUGUUAUUUUCAUCUUUUUUUUUUUUUAAUUUUUAUUUUUUUCCUUCCCAAAGCCCCCCAGUACAUAGUUGUGUAUUCUUCGUUGUGGGUCCUUCUAGUUGUGGCAUGUGGGACGCUGCCUCAGUGUGGUUUGAUGAGCAGUGCCAUGUCCGCGCCCAGGAUUCGAACCAAUGAAACACUGGGCCGCCUGCAGCGGAGCGCGUGAACUUAACCACUCGGCCAUGGGGCCAGCCCCUGUUCUUUUCAUCUUUUAAAUGUUUAAAAAAAAUUCUAAUAAAAAGUGUAUGAUAAAUUUAAAGCCAGAUAAUAUAUGGUAGCCCAGUUUGGGUUUUAGAUGUUCAGUAAUUCGCCUAUUUUAAUCCUCUUCCCUUAUGGGUGUCUGAGACUGCAUCUUUCUCAGUUCAGUUCAUCCAGAUAAUAACUCUCUGGUUUCCUCUGGGGUGAGAGAGUCUUGGUUGCCUGACUCCACAGGGACCUGGUCACCUAGCUGCUCUGUAUGCAAGAUAGAGACUCCCGAUGCCCCCACAUUUUGACUUCUUGCUCUCUAGUACCGAUGAGUGUCCAGCCUCUUGGUGGGCACUGCUCCACUCUUAAGUCCAUUUCCACUCCUGCAUUUGCUUUUCAUCUUUCAAAAUC